CUACGGGUGGCAGCAGGCGUGAAAACUUUGCAAUGUGCGAAAGCACGACAAGGUUAAUCCGAGUGGUUUGUGCUAAACGAACCUUUUGACAGUCCUAGAAACACUGUUGAAUAAGGGGUGGGCAAGUUCUGGUGUCAGCCGCCGCGGUAAAACCAGCACCUCAAGUGGUCAGGAUGAUUAUUGGGCCUAAAGCAUCCGUAGCCGGCUCUGUAAGUUUUCGGUUAAAUCUGUACGCUCAACGUACAGGCUGCCGGGAAUACUGCAGAGCUAGGGAGUGGGAGAGGUAGACGGUACUCGGUAGGAAGGGGUAAAAUCCUUUGAUCUAUUGAUGACCACCUGUGGCGAAGGCGGUCUACCAGAACACGUCCGACGGUGAGGGAUGAAAGCUGGGGGAGCAAACCGGAUUAGAUACCCCCGUAGUC
RNAcentral lists this ribosomal RNA (422 nucleotides) under uncultured archaeon. Its description in RNAcentral is "partial 16S ribosomal RNA". It matches the Rfam family "Archaeal small subunit ribosomal RNA", at positions 323 to 746 of the family's 1478-position model. The record is from RNAcentral.